CGGGAAAUCAAGUGUGCGUGGCUCACGGGGACCUAAAGUUGACAAAGUGCAACUGGUAAAUGAAUAUGUUGUCCUAAUUGAUGCAGUGCUAGAUUGCUGCCAUUUUUCUCUCAGUUGAAGAAGUGUGCAUAAAUCCUUUCCUUUCAACCCUCAGACUGCUGCUGUUAUCUUUUUUGACAGUCACGGGAUCAAAUUUAAUACUUCAAACCCAUAACUGUAAUGCAUGACUGCUGCAAUUUAUUUUGUUUCUUGAAAUUGUCUACAUUUACCUCUUCUUUUAUCAUUCAGACUUCUGGGGAAUUUUGUUGUAAAUGUCAAUUCAAAAAUUACCAUCUUAGUCAUUCUAGUGUUUCAAGCAUCACAGUUUAAAGGCUAAACUAAGCAAUCUCCUGUCAUGGAUCUUAAGACAAUAUGAGUAAUACAUUAUUUUGCUAAUUGAUAACAUACUAUUUUAUGAAAAAUUUCAGCAUUUCAGCUAUUAUAUUAUGGGAAUGAAACUGAGAAGUUAUAUAAUAUGUGUGUGUCUAAGUAUUUGUAUGUUCUCCUCAUUAUUAUUUUCUUGCAGGUUGACCACAGACGGGCAUACAAUUGUGAAAUCAUGCUUUCAAAGGUGAAAGUGCCACUACAUGAAUUAAUGGUAAGCUAUAAUUAAUGUUCAGAGCAAAGCCUCCAAGUUUAGAUGAAUACAGAAGCCAACUUCACUGUCCCUUUAUCUACCUGUAUAAGCGCGGCAGCACAAAUACUUUGUCAUAUCUAGGAUAAUAUUUGGGAAUCAUGUCCUUCUCUGAAGUUGUGUUUGGCAUACUCCAAGACCAUGAAUGCAGUUUAGGUGUUUCGGGGAAAGCAUUGCAAUUAAUGCUUUGGGACACCACCACAGUUGGCUUUUGUGGACCAAGACCACAAUACCAAACAUAUCCUAACUACUGUAGCUACAGUUUUUUUGUUUUCUCUUGCAGCCAUAAGAACACCUUACAGGUAAUAUAUAG
RNAcentral lists this long non-coding RNA (986 nucleotides) under Populus trichocarpa (black cottonwood). RNAcentral describes it as "long non-coding RNA (PTRI_LNC004059)". Lineage: Eukaryota; Viridiplantae; Streptophyta; Magnoliopsida; Malpighiales; Salicaceae. The record is from RNAcentral.